RNAcentral lists this long non-coding RNA (1299 nucleotides) under Triticum aestivum (bread wheat). RNAcentral's name for it is "long non-coding RNA (TAES_LNC027225)". The record is from RNAcentral. Lineage: Eukaryota; Viridiplantae; Streptophyta; Magnoliopsida; Poales; Poaceae.
CCCUAGAUAGAUAAAUGGAUGGAUGAAUUUGUGUGUCAUCUUUGAUUUUCUAAGUUGACUGACAUGAAUUCAGAAUUGAAGAGGAGGCCCGGGUAGAAUUAAUGUCAGAUGAGCCAAACUGAAUGUGCUUAUUUCCGAAUAAUGUUCAGUCAGAAAAAACUUGAACCAAAACUGAAUAACCUACGGUCAUAAGGAAAUUCUUUGUUUGGAAACUGAUUGUCUAUCUAGAAUGUUGCAGUUGUGGCACUACAUGAUCUUACUAAUGCUGUCUUUUCUACUCAAUGUGGCUGUAUUUUCUUGGUGGUAUCACGCAGAUUGGUUCUUAUUUAUGUGGUCUAUUUUUUUAUCUAGCUAGCUAGCUAACUUGCUCCAUUUCCAUUGAACUGAAUCUAUGUAAUAGACCUUGCUAACUUGUUCUCCCUCCAUACAUCAAAAAAAAACUUGUUCUCCCUCCAUGGACCUUGCAGCCUCUUCCACAUUCCACCACCAUCAGCCUCCUUAACCCCAACCGAAGAGCUGGCCUUUUCCCCAGUAAGAUGUAACUUUUGUUCAGAGUAAUGAUUUCAGUUCAGUCUGCAUAGUUCAGCUUCAUAGAGAAGAUAAUGAUUUCUGUUUUUUAGCCUACUGCAAUUGUUUAGAGUAAUGUGUGGACAAAAUUUAGGUUUUGUCCCACAUCACAUUGCAUUGUUUGGAGGUUUUGUACAUCAGCUUCCUUUUUGAUCUUCUUAUUUAAACUUGUUGCAGUACGUGUGACACAUGACGCCUAACUACUUAACUAAUUUUCUGCUAAUUCAGCUCACACGGCGCUGUGGUACGCGGAUGUCGCUGCAGAGUAGAGAGAUACCCCUAGAAGUCGCCUUCCUGUCCACCUCUUCAGAAGUGCCACCGCCUCGGACACGACGACAUUAGAACCCAGUUCCUAUCAUAGAGAUAUGGGGUCAGGAAAACCCAUCAGUUCAUUUAUUCCUGCUAGUUAAACUUGGGCUGUUAUAGAGAUAUGCAGGCCCAUCUAAUUACAUGUUACUCUCAAACUGUUUGAGCAAUAUGCAGUGAUGUUAGUCUGUAAUGCAUUGACAAUGGCCGCUACUUCAGGCGUUGCUAGCUGCAUUUCUCUACUGCCCUGUUGUUUUGUAGGUGACGCCCUUAGUUUUGCUACUUUGCAUAUUCUGGGAGCAAUUACAGUGAGGUUAUAUGUGAUUUUUGUUCACUUAAUAUCUACACUGCUCUUCCUUGCAUAAUUUGAUGUCGUUUUACUUGGAAAGAUUGCAUUUUUAUUUGUUUGCACUAUCUUAUCUAAAU